GCUUGUCUCAAAGAUUAAGCCAUGCAUGUCUCAGUAUAAGCUUGUGCAUAGUGAAACUGCGAACGGCUCAUUAUAACAGUUAUAAUUUGUUUGGUGUUCAAGUUUACAUGGGUAACUGUGGCAAUUCUAGAGCUAAUACAUGCCUUGAAAAGUCCUGACCUUUAUGGAAGGGAUGCAGUUAUUAGAUACAAAACCAACCCGGGCAACCGGUCCUUUGGUGAUUCAUGAUAACUUUGCGAAUCGCAUAGCUUUAAUGCUGGCGAUGGGUCAUUCAAAUUUCUGCCCUAUCAACUUUCGACGGUAGGAUAGAGGCCUACUGUGGUGAUAACGGGUAACGAAGAAUAAGGGUUCGAUUUCGGAGAGGGAGCCUGAGAAACGGCUACCACAUCCAAGGAAGGCAGCAGG
RNAcentral lists this ribosomal RNA (405 nucleotides) under uncultured Blastocladiomycota. Its description in RNAcentral is "partial small subunit ribosomal RNA". It matches the Rfam family "Eukaryotic small subunit ribosomal RNA", at positions 30 to 432 of the family's 1831-position model. The record is from RNAcentral. Lineage: Eukaryota; Fungi; Blastocladiomycota.